This is a long non-coding RNA of Raphanus sativus (radish), 624 nucleotides long. RefSeq lists it as uncharacterized. The record is from RefSeq and is a predicted model, not a curated record. NCBI's taxonomy places the organism in Eukaryota, Viridiplantae, Streptophyta, Magnoliopsida, Brassicales, Brassicaceae. The transcript is spliced from 3 exons.
UUUACAAAACAAAACAUAAUACAUAAUGAAGCAUUAAAGCUUGACCGUACAAGAAUGAGAUAUAUUGUUUCUUCUUUCUCAAACUCUUACUAAAGCAGGUAUCAAAGAUAUAGUUUGUUACUCUAAAAGCAUUAGCAGCAAGAAGCACAACGUUAGUACUGCUUGCAUCUACUGUGAUUCAAUAUGAAGUCAUAAGUGAAGAUUAUAAAUGCUAUGCCCAGUCAGCCAUGUUCUUGCUUCAUGUUUUUGCCUCGGUAAGGUCCCACAGCCCCAAUCUCCUCGGUCGGUAGGGAAAUCUCAAAUGAUUGGUUCAUUCGGUUCUCUACACUGAAAUGUUUUGGCUAACGGAAAACCAAACAGACAGUUUAUUGGAAAAACCAGCUUCGCGUGUCAGUCUGAUGCACGUAGGAAUAAUCUUUGUCGUUUCGCUCUCAUCAUAUUCACAACUUUAUCAAUCAACGCACCUAACACUCAAUCUUCGCAUUAUUGUACUAUCUUGUGCUACUUCAAGUUUCGAGGGGAUAUAUAAGAAAAUAAGAUUUAGGAUUUGUAACAAUUUUUAUUUAUUUUGAAGUUUAACCAGUUAGUUAAAUUCAAGAAUGAUCAAACCGAAACUAAAGCAAA